CCUGCGGAAGGAUCAUUACCGAGUUCUCGGGCUUCGGCUCGAAUCUCCCACCCUUUGUGAACAUACCUCUGUUGCUUUGGCGGCUCUUUGCCGCGAGGAGGCCCUCGCGGGCCCCCCCGCGCGCUUUCUGCCAGAGGACCUUCAAACUCCAGUCAGUAAACGUCGACGUCUGAUAAACAAGUUAAUAAACUAAAACUUUCAACAACGGAUCUCUUGGUUCUGGCAUCGAUGAAGAACGCAGCGAAAUGCGAUAAGUAAUGUGAAUUGCAGAAUUCAGUGAAUCAUCGAAUCUUUGAACGCACAUUGCGCCCCCUGGCAUUCCGGGGGGCAUGCCUGUUCGAGCGUCAUUACAACCCUCAAGCUCUGCUUGGUAUUGGGCGCCGUCCUCUCUGCGGACGCGCCUUAAAGACCUCGGCGGUGGCUGUUCAGCCCUCAAGCGUAGUAGAAUACACCUCGCUUUGGAGCGGUUGGCGUCGCCCGCCGGACGAACCUUC
This 494-nucleotide ribosomal RNA is filed under the name Diplodia seriata. RNAcentral describes it as "eukaryotic LSU rRNA". The stretch from base 194 to 347 matches the Rfam family "5.8S ribosomal RNA". Lineage: Eukaryota; Fungi; Ascomycota; Dothideomycetes; Botryosphaeriales; Botryosphaeriaceae. The record is from RNAcentral.